ACUGCUCAGGAUGAACGCUGGCGGCGUGCUUAACACAUGCAAGUCGAACGGGAUCCGACCAGCUUGCUGGUUGGUGAGAGUGGCGAACGGGUGAGUAAUGCGUGACCAACCUGCCCCAUGCUCCAGAAUAGCUCUUGGAAACGGGUGGUAAUGCUGGAUGCUCCAACUUGACGCAUGUCUUGUUGGGAAAGUGUUUAGUGGCAUGGGAUGGGGUCGCGUCCUAUCAGCUUGUAGGCGGGGUAAUGGCCCACCUAGGCUUCGACGGGUAGCCGGCCUGAGAGGGCGGACGGCCACAUUGGGACUGAGAUACGGCCCAGACUCCUACGGGAGGCAGCAGUGGGGAAUAUUGCGCAAUGGGGGAAACCCUGACGCAGCGACGCCGCGUGCGGGAUGAAGGCCUUCGGGUUGUAAACCGCUUUUGAUUGGGAGCAAGCUUUCGGGUGAGUGUACCUUUCGAAUAAGCGCCGGCUAACUACGUGCCAGCAGCCGCGGUAAUACGUAGGGCGCAAGCGUUAUCCGGAAUUAUUGGGCGUAAAGAGCUUGUAGGCGGUUCGUCGCGUCUGGUGUGAAAGCCCAUCGCUUAACGGUGGGUUUGCGCCGGGUACGGGCGGGCUAGAGUGCAGUAGGGGAGACUGGAAUUCCCGGUGUAACGGUGGAAUGUGUAGAUAUCGGGAAGAACACCAAUGGCGAAGGCAGGUCUCUGGGCUGUUACUGACGCUAGA
RNAcentral lists this ribosomal RNA (722 nucleotides) under Gardnerella vaginalis. RNAcentral's name for it is "bacterial SSU rRNA". It matches the Rfam family "Bacterial small subunit ribosomal RNA", at positions 19 to 750 of the family's 1533-position model. Lineage: Bacteria; Bacillati; Actinomycetota; Actinomycetes; Bifidobacteriales; Bifidobacteriaceae. The record is from RNAcentral.